This 3392-nucleotide long non-coding RNA is filed under the name Homo sapiens (human). RNAcentral's name for it is "HSALNT0321626". The record is from RNAcentral. Lineage: Eukaryota; Metazoa; Chordata; Mammalia; Primates; Hominidae.
UUUCAGUUGCAUCUUUUCAACAAAGUUGACUCUCUCCCUACAAAGGAAAGUUUGUAUCAGCUACUGAGAAGACUUGGACUGGAACUUACUUCACCAGAUCUCAUGGUUCUUGGGCCUUCAGACUCAGGUUGGAACUAUGCUAUCAGCUUUCCUGGAUCUCCAGCUUGCUGACUACACAAUCUAGGACUUCUCAGCCUUUGUAAUUGUGAGGAACAAAUUGUUCUACAGAAAAUGAAGGAAACUCCAAAUGUUCAAGAGACUGGGGAUGAUAUAUGAAAGCUUUCACCAUUAGGAUAAAAAAGAGCAAGAAUAGCUCACAUACCAUGUGAACCACUUUUGGGAAUCAGAUGUGUACAUUCCAAAGUAAAAUGACUUCAGUGUAUAUAUACAAGGAUGAUAAAUGUCCUGCUGAGAACAGCGGCAAAACAACAAGAAGAACCACCGUAAAGCUCCUGCACAUACUUAUAUACUGAAUAGGACCAUGAAAAAGUGCUUAAGCUCAAACAGGUAGGUAUUAUUUUUUUCAUGCCUUGUAAAAGUAGAUUAGUCAUAUGAGAAAACUUGAAAUAAUUUGCUGUAAUAUUUUAGAUUGUUUGCAAUUUAAAAUUUUUCAGGUAUCCCUGCUUUUCUCCUUUAUGCUGGAUAACUAAAAGUACCUAUCAAUUCACCUGAUUGUAUUUUUCAUUUUAUUUUUUCCUCAGAGGCCUGAUUUCCUUAUAGUUUUUGACCUAUUGAGGUAAUUUGCAUGCUCUUUAGCCAUUGUCUGAGAAACUUGUGCCCAGACAAAUCUUUGUUUUCCUUUUAGGCUCUAUUUAAUAAAGAUUAUGAAGAGGCUUACAGUAGCACUAUUAUUUGAGAUUUCAUUAUGGCUGUUAAUGGUAUUUGAGUACCAGUUUUUUUUCACAUGGUCAUUGAUAAUUGGGGUUUUAGCUAUUUUAUAUUGACAAUCGGAGAUUUUUGAAAAUGGUGCCACCUUGAAGUCUAAUUAAUUAGAGAAUGCUAUAACCAUUGUUAAUGCACAACUCAUUUUUAGUUUAAUUUAAAAUUUGGAGCAUUUCUUUGCUUCCUCAAAUAAUUGUGCUUAUAGUCAGAAGCAUAAUAAGUAGAAAAUAGAUUAACUAUGAAGAAAACUGUAAAUCUCUUCUCAUCACUGUUUGUAUUAUGAACAGUAUAAAAGAAUCAGAUGAGGAAGGGACAUAUUUUUAUGGCAUGGGUCUUGCUGUACAUAGCCUUUACCUGAGCUAGUUUCUUUGGGAUUGGUAUAUAUAAUGUUGCAAGUCUCAAGGCCAAUGCUAAGUGCAGGGAGGGCAAUCCAAGAGGCUGCAAUCCCCAUUUAUCUUACUCUGGGCACUAAAGCUAUUUCUUCCCAUCCAGAUUUUCUUCCAGGAAGCAAUGCCCAGUUGAAAUGGUAAGAUGGUGUGAACAUGGAUCUUUCUAAGGAUCAAAAUGGGAUCUGUUAAAUAUGUAUGUUUAUGGGGUCUGUUAAUAUGUAUUAAGCAUUUCAUAGGUGUUAAGUCUUCAUCAAGACUUAACAAACAAAGUAGAAGAAACAAACACAUAAAGAGGUCCUUAUAUCAUGUGAUAGAUGCCAUGAUAGAGGCAUCGGUUCAGGGUGAUGAGGUAGCACAGAGUGAAGACAUAAAUCAGCCUGGGAAAAUCAAGGAACGCCUCCUGGAGAAGACAAACUGUAAUUUGUCUUUAAAGCUGCUUACUAGCCAGAUGCAAAGUUAGAGGAAGGCAAGUAAGGCAGAGAAAACACACUAUCAAGGAAUGGAAACUAAAAUAAUAAAAACUACAACGAUCUUUACAUUUAUUUUAGGUACUAUUUUAGGUGAUGCAUGAAACCAUUUCAUGUGUCCCACAAACAUAUGAGGCAGCUAUUACUAUCCCAGUUUUAUGUAUGAAGAAAUUGAAGCACAGAAUGUUUAAGUGAAUUACCUAAGGUCACAUAGACAGUAAAUUAUAGAGGACAGAUUUGGAACCCUGCUGUCUGACUCCAGAGUCCAUAUCCUUAACCACCAUACGAUACAGCCCCGUGCUGUGGUUUACUGAUGGGUGUAGUGAACAACAAGUGAGUUGAAAUUACUGGAUAAAAUUCUAGCUUGGAGAAGGCAGAAGGCACAGUUGCAGAGACUGACAAGUGGCAGAUACUGACUUUGUAUGUCAUGCUAAGACGGUUAGAAUAAGACUUCUCAACUAUGUAUAGUGAGGGGACAAUUUACUUUAUUAUUAUCUUUUAAUUUCAAAUAUGAUGUGGAUGGAUAUGUUUAUAAAAUAUAAAAUUACAUACAUGGAUAUCAAGGCAAUUUCAAAUUGCUAGAAAGGAUUCUAAAUGCUUACUUCAUUUCUGUGCUUUGCUAAUCAUUGAUUUAUAACAAACAAUUUUGGGCUAGCGCUUUGAGUAGUAUUGAUUUAUAUUUUUUACUUUGUACCUUGUGGUGUAAUUAAGGUAUAACCAUUCAGAUGGGCAGGUUAGCAUUUUAAGUAUUGAUUUCUUUGUGGAAAAUGAACUAGAGGCUAAGACUGAUUACAGUGAGCCCAAUUAUGAAUCAAUGAUUGUAGUGUCUGCCAAAUAUAACUGGAGCCUAAACUGAGGCUGUGGAGUAGCAAUGAAAAGUGAGAGGUAAAUGGUUUUGAGAAAUCCUUGAGAGCUAUAUCUGGCCUGGGUCCAUGGACAAGAUUCCCUUAUCUUCAACUUCCACUAAAACAGCUCUUUGUGAUUCUUUACUCUGUUUUCCUCUUAAAUUUAAUAUUUUAAAAUGUCUAUCUCAAAAGCUACCAUCUAUGUAUUUCUUAAAUCAAAACCGUAUUUUUCCUUCAAAAUGUAUUAAACAUUUUGUUUAAGCGAAGUUCCUUUUAGGCCCUGGGUUUAAGUGGGAAGAAGGCUGGUGAGGCUGAGGAGUGCAGGAUGAUCUGCAGGGCUAGAAGUGAAGUGUCGUUUCUUUCUUAAACAAGUAUCUUGUGUGGAAACAUGCAGCAAAGCCAAGAGUUAAUGGUUUAAGGAAUGAGCCUUGAGGGAACAGGGGCCAAGGGAAAAUUUUCACUUUGUCCUUCUGAAGGUUUACUGAGAAAUGAACUCAUAAAUGUCAGAUUAACUGGAGAAAAAGCAUUCAAAAUUUAUUAAUGUGUAAACAGGAUCCUUUGGAAUGAAGACCCAAAGAUAUAGAAAAAAUUGUCCAUUUUUAUGCUUAGGUUCAAGAAAGUAUGGAUAGCUGCAUAGAAAUAUGUUUGGAAAAAUAGGGUAUUAUCUAAUGUUAAUAGAUGGAGUAGAGCAAUAUAGCAAGGCCUCUUGGUCUAGAUUUGUCUUGGUUUUUCAGAGCAUGUGUUUCUUCCUUCUGGAUAUGGGACAGGACCCUCUCUGGAAAGGGGGUCAGAUAAUUUUUUAUUGCCAG